Molecule: long non-coding RNA, 6096 nt
Filed under: Homo sapiens (human)
Lineage: Eukaryota; Metazoa; Chordata; Mammalia; Primates; Hominidae
Description: HSALNT0024041
Source: RNAcentral
AACACCACCUGCCAACAUUCAGCCUCCUCUGCCCAUCAGCCUUGCUGACACAGGGAGUGGAGAUUUGUGUAGAGAAAUGACUCAUUCAAAUAUGACUUAAUCUAAACCGUAAGUGUAUGAUUUAUUAAUGUGCCACCAGGCCUUACACCAAGAGAGCCAUUCCAGAGAAAAGUCCUUUUUCUCCUGAGAACAGUGCCAGCAGCUGGCUUCGUGACAUUCUGGAAGCCCCGUGCAAUGCUGUCAGGAGCAUAGGGAUUUUACUUUAUCUCCCUUGCUUAUGCUCCACAUAACUGAAAUAUCUCACUGGAAGCUGCAGCAGUGCUGGCCCCUUGCACAGCCAUAUGUGACCACUGCAGAACAAUCAGUUGGAGAGACAGUUUGGACUACAUGGAGGGUGGAGAUAAGGACAAAGUGAAGAAUACACAGGAACCAGUGCCUCCUCCUGGAACUAUGCAACUCCAAGCUGCUUCCAUCAGCUGCUAGGUCCAGUAGGGAGGGACCUACUGAGAGAAGGUGCCUGCUUCCCUUUCCGCUGUGAUUCAUUGCCAGAAAACUCAUUUCUCAGUGACACCAUUGUAAUUACUCAUUUGAUUAUCCCGCAAUACACAUAUAAGAGUCUCAGGAAAACAGUACCAUCAGCAUUAUAUGAGCUAAUUAAAAAUGUGGUGUCCUGGACUCACGAAGCCAGAAUUGCUGAGGAGAUAGCCCGAGAAUCUGAAUUUUUAGCAGACAUUUUUUUAGGGUGUGGGGAAGAGCGAGAAAAAGAUUUCCGCUCUGGAAGGUAAACAAAUACUCUCUGGAGAGAGAAGAGGAAUGUCCCUAGCAGAUGUCUCCAGAGAAGACAAGACUUUAAAUUCCGCCAGGGAAAUAUACAAUGUCUAACUUCUAAGGCACAUUUGCCAUUCAAUCAUGCUUUAACCCACGUUGCCAGAAAUUUUUGCUCACUAGGUUUUGACUGUACAGGAAUGUGAAAAUAUUCAUGAAGAGUUGUUUUCCAAUGCUAAAGAAUUGAUGUGUUUUAACAGUUGAAUUAAUUGUAUUGAUUAUGAUCACACCUACUUUUUAUAUAUCUUCAUUUCUAACGUUUCUGUACAAUCCUGCCUUUCCACCUGAUAUAGUUAGGCCUUGUGUCAUCAACCAAAUCUCAUCUUGAAUUGUAAUCGCCAUAAUCCCCACGUAUUUAGGGAGAGACCUGGAGGGAGGUGUUUGGAUCAUGGGGGCGGUUUCCCGCAUGCUGUUCUCAUGACCAUGAGAGUAAGUUCUCAAGAGAUCUGAUGGUUUUAUAAGCGUCUGUCAUUUCCACUGCUUGCACUUCUGUGUCCUGCCACCUUGUGAAGAAGGACGUGGUUGCUUCCCCUUCCACCAUGAUUGUGUUUCCUGAGGCCUCCCCAGCCUUGCAGAGCUGUGAGUCAAUUAAACCUCUUUCCUUUAUAAAUUACUCAGUCUCUGUAUUCCUCUGCAGCAGUGUGAGAACAGACUAAUACAUCACCACUUUAUUUACUUUACUCUCUCCCCAUACCGAGGUUUUCUACAUUUUCUUUCUAGGUCUCUACAGUUUCUGCAAAGAUCCUUUAUGGAACUCUUAGGGAAGCUGGGAUGUAUAAUAAAUAAAGGGCUCUUUUCUUUGAGUCCCACACCCAUUUUCUGUGUAUAAAAAUCUUCAACUCCACUUUUGUCUGUUCUAUUUAAAUGUGUGCACAUUUCCUUCUAAUGUUGUAUAUGAAAAAGAGACACCUCUUAGCAGUCUUUCAUAGAGCAAAAUUUUUUACUUUGAUAAAAUCUAAUUUAUCAAUAUUUUUAAAUUUUAUGGAUCAAUCAUGCUUUUGAGGUUGAAUUUAAGAAUGCUUUGCCUAGCCCUAGAUCCCAAGUAUCUUUUAAAAAUUAUUUUUCUAAAUGCAUUAUUUAUGUUUUACACUUAAGUCUAUAAUCCAUUUUGAGUCCAUGUGUAAGAUUUAGGUUAAGGUCAAGAUUUAUCUGUUUUUGUUGUUUUCUCUAUAAAUGUCAAUUGCUCCAGCACUAUUUGUUUAAAAGCCAAUCUUUCCUCCGCUGAGUUCUUCCUAUAAGUUUGUCAAAAGUCAAUUUGGCAUCUUUGUAUAAGUUUAUUUCUGGAUUCUCUAUUCUGUUUUAUUGAUCACUGCAUCUAUCCCUCUUGAUUAGCUAGAUAAUAAAUCCUACAAUAAGGUAGAAUUCUUCCCACUUUAUUCAUAUUCAAAAUAUUUUAAAGCUAUUCUAGUUUCUUUUUAUUUCCAUAUAUAUUUUAGGAUAAUCUUAUCUAUAUUUACAACAUAUGUUGCUAGGAUUUUGAUAGAAUUUGUUUUAAAUUUGUGUAUCAAUGUAGGGAAGACCUGACAUCUUUACUAUUACGUUGAUCUUCCAAUCAAUGAAUAUGGUAUAUCUCUCAGUUUAUAGCUAUUGUCUUUAAUUUAUUUCAUCAUGGUUUUUAGUUUUCAGCAGAGAAGCUUUAUACAUGUUUUGUUAUACAUGUAUAACAAAAGAAGCCUUAUACACUGACAUUUUAUAUUUUGAACAAUUGUAAAUGGUAUUGUUUAAAAAUUUUGUUGUCUAUGAUAGAAAUAAAAUUGAUUUUUGUAGGUUUAUCUUGUAACCUAUGACUUGCUGAGCUCGCUCAUUAGUUUUUUUAUUGUGAUAAAAUAUACAUGAGAUAAAUUUCAUCAUUAUAAUCAUUAAGUUUAGACAUCAAUUGCAUUAAGUACAUAAAUGCCUUAUGCAACCAUCAUCUCUAUCCAUCUCCAGACCCUUUGCAUCACCCUAAAAUGAAACUCUGUGCCCAUUAAACAAUAACUCCCCAUUCUGCCCUCACCCCAGCCCUUGGUAAUUACCAUCCUACCUUUUAUCUCUAUAAAUUUAACCAUCCCAGGUAACUCAUAUAAGUGGAAUCAUGCAGUGUUUGUCCUUUUGUAACUGGUUUAUUUCACUUAGCAUGAUGUCUUCAAGGUUUGCCUAUGUCAUAGCAUGUGUCAGAAUUUCAUCCCUUUUUAAACUUAAAUAAUAUUCCACUGUAGGCAUAUGCCACAUUUUGUUUAUUUGUUCAUCUGUUGAUGGGCAUUUGGGUUGUUUCCACCUUUUGGCUACUGUGAAUAAUGCUGCUGUGAUCAUGGGUAUGCAACUGUCUCCUGGAGUCCCUGCUAUCAAUUCUUGUGGGUAUAUACCCAGAAGUGGAAUUGUUGCAACAUAUAGUAAUUCUAUGUUUAAUUUUUUGAGGACCUGCCAUAAUGUUUUCCACAGUAGCUACAUUGUCUUAUAUUCCCAUUAAGAGUUCCAAUUUCCUCACAUCUUCACCAAUACUUAUUGUUUUCUGUUUUUUUAAAUAAUAGCCAUCAUAAUAAAAGUAACAUGGUAUCUCAUUGUGGUUUUAACUGCAUUUCCCUUUUUACUGGAUUGUUUGUAAUAUUGCUGUAAUUGAGUUGUAGGAGUUUUUAAAUAUGUUCUGAAUAAUUAAUUUCUUAUCAGAUAUGUCAUUUGCAAAUAUUUUCUGCCAUUCUCUGGGUUGUCAUUUCACUCUCUUGAUAGUGUCCUUUGAUGCACAGAAGUUUUGAAAUUUGAUAAAGUUUAAUUUGCGUAUGUAUUUAUUUUGUUGCUUAUGCUUUUGGUGUCAUAUCCAAGAAAUUAUUGCCAAAUUCAGUGUCAUGAAGAUUUUCCCCUGUGUUUUCCUCUAAGAGUAUUAUAGUUUUAACUCUUGCACUUAGAUUGAUCCGCUUUGAGUUAAUUUUAGUAUAUGGGGUAAGACAAGGGCUCAAAUUUGUUCUUUUGUUUGAAGAUUCUAGGUCAUUUGUGAUCUUUAGGAUUUUCUAUGUAGACAUUAAUGUCAUCUUCAAAUAUGAACAGUUUAUUUCUUCCUUUUGUAUAUGUAUGAAUUUACUUUCCUUUUCUUGCCUUAUUGCACUGGCUAGAGUUUUCAGUACUAUGAUGAAUAAAAUCAGUGAGAGCAGACACCCUUGCUUUGUUUCUAAUCUUAGGAGGAAAGCUUUCAGUCUUUCAUCAUUAGGUAUACUGUUAGUUGUAGGCUUAUUAUAGAUGCUCUUUAUCAGGUUGAGGCAGUUUCCUCCUUGGUUAAGACUUUCUAUUUUUCAUUUUCAGUUAUGACCAGGCAUGUUCAUAACUGCUCAUCAAAACUUUGAAUUAGUGGCUGCUUUAACAUCCUUCUCAGACAAUUCUAACAUCUGUUUUGUUGGUGGUGGCAUCUAUCAAUUGUCUUUUUCAUUCUGUUUGAGAUCUUCCUUGCGUUUGGUAUGAUUUUUUUAAAUAUUAUGUCAUGAAACUGCAUCUUAUUUAAAUCUUCUGUUUUAGUUGGCUAUGUCUGACAUCACUUCCCCAGGGGAAGGUGUUGUUACUGCUAGUGGAGGGUGAGAAUUAUGGCUCUCCACUGACAUUGUGGUGGGAUUGGUCCCAUUACCACUGGGCAGGGUUGAAAGUCCUGACUUUCUGCUAGGCCUUCUCUGACUUCAUCGCAGCAGGAGGAAAAGAUGCCUCUGGAGUUGAAGUCAGGUUGCACUGACACUGUGUGUGUAUGGAGGUAGGCUGGGGUGAAAGUGGAGACUCAUUACCACAUGGUGAGUAGUUUCCAGCUCUCUAUUUGGCCUUCUCUGAUACCACCCAGACAGGGACAUUGGGGAUACCUCAUUACAGCCUAGUGAGGGUCAAACUCUAGGCUCCCCACUCAGUCUUUGCUAUCAUGGACACUGUAGGACCAUAGUUUUUUCUGUGCUGUUUGCUUGAUGUGUCUUCCUUGGACCCUGAGUUCCAUAGCUGGUCUGCAUUCCUCUCUCCACCUUUAAGACGUCUUCUUAUGUUUAUUUCAUAUUUAACAUCCAGGGUGGUAAUUAGAGGGAAGAAUAGAGGGAAAAGUACAGUUGCACUUUGUUGUUCAAAGAGCAGUUUUGAACUGCACAGACCCAUUUCUCUGAGCACACCCAGGGAUGAUUGUACUUGUAUAAAAUUUUUUUCCUGGAUGCAGAAUUCUCAAUUGACUGUGAAAGUUCAUAACAAAGAAAACAGUGGGGAAGACAAAUCUGGAAAUGAGGAAAAUAAAAAUUAAAUAGUGAGACCACCCAUGGAGCUUGUGGCAAAGCCUGAAUUGAAUCCGCUGUAUCUUAAGAUUGUGCCUCAUUCUAAAUUUAAGUCACCCUUCUCAUUAUGAAAGUGUCACAACUUCUCAGUAGGUGAGGAGACAGUCUAAAUUUGAGAAAAGAAAGUUACAACAAAGGUUUUGAGCAAGCUGCUAAGUGGAUUUAUUCAUGUUUGAGAAAUCAAAUAUAUGGUUAAUGAGCUCUUUAACUAGAAGCCAACACUAGGGAGGAGUAGACAGAAGUCACGGGGAGGGAGCCCCCGGACAUUUCAAAAGACUUUGCCCUGCAACAUCUCCUCCACAUUUAAGCUUUUAGGUUAUUGUAGCCACAUCACAAGCAUGUUACCUACCCAGAUAUUGUCUGCGCAUCAUUCCCAAAAGCUUCCCUGGGUCUUCAUAAUAUUAAUGAGAUUCUCCCCCAGGUUAGACCCCUUUGGCUUGAGUCAGAAACAGAAUUAAUCCGGGGGACAAUCCAGCAGCACCCAUCUCUGGGUUGCAGAAAUAUCUGAGGUGACCAGGCAGUGUUUGGAGUCCCCUCAGUUAGCUAACAAAGUGAGUUCACAGCUUCCAAGACCCCAGGCUUUCCAGGCUAAUAAAGAGCUGAGGUUAUAGGCUCUCCUUAUCAAACGCUCUUUGGCAGCUGCCAUAACCAUUCCAAGUCUAGUCCUAGAAUAGAAAUGACGCGGUUUCAGGAGCUGACAGAUGGAACUUUAAGCCUUCCUUCCUGCCACAUCUGAAGUUCUUUUUUAAAAAAAUAGAAAACCAUGACAAUAAACACUCCUUGAAUGCCCUGUGGAAAAGUGUACUCCUCAGAAUUCACUAAAGUGGGGUGAAGCAGUGGGUUGUGGUGCUGAGAAAACAUCUCUUCCCCUCGGCAGUAUAUUGGAAUCUCAUAGAAACUUCUGUGGCUGGGAAGCAAACAUGCUCUCUGCCCCAUUGCUCUUAUUCAUCUUUAGACCUGAUAAUACAGUUUGAACUUCAAGUUGCACUUUAAAUGGCAUGCAUUUUUA